GGCUCGAAGUACUGAUGCAGUUUCAGCCUGCCGUGCUCUAGUCAAUGUCCUUGAAGAGCAGCCUACAGAAGAAAUGAAAGUUGUGGCUAUAUGUGCUUUGCAGAACCUUGUUAUGUACAGCCGGUCUAACAAAAGAGCAGUUGCAGAAGCUGGUGGUGUUCAGGUUGUAUUGGAUUUGAUUGGUUCGAGUGAUCCAGAUACAUCUGUCCAGGCUGCGAUGUUUGUUAAACUUCUCUUCUCCAAUCACACCAUUCAGGAGUAUGCUUCCAGUGAAACAGUUAGAGCUAUAACUGCUGCUAUUGAGAAAGAUUUAUGGGCCACUGGAGUUGUGAAUGAGGAGUAUCUAAAAGCUCUAAAUUCUCUCUUCAGCAACUUCCCACGUCUGAGGGCAACUGAACCUGCAACACUCAGUAUACCUCAUUUGGUUACAUCCCUUAAGACAGGUUCAGAAGCAACUCAAGAAGCUGCCUUGGAUUCACUUUUUCUUCUCAGGCAAGCUUGGUCAGCAUGCCCAGCUGAAGUUUCAAGAGCUCAAUCCCUGGCUGCUGCAGAUGCUAUCCCCUUGUUGCAAUACUUGAUUCAGUCUGGCCCACCCCGAUUUCAGGAGAAAGCUGAAUUCUUACUGCAGUGUUUGCCUGGUACAUUGGUAGUUAUUAUCAAGCGUGGAAAUAACAUGAAGCAGUCAGUUGGAAACCCAAGUGUAUAUUGCAAACUGACACUCGGCAACACUCCUCCAAGACAAA
RNAcentral lists this unclassified non-coding RNA (743 nucleotides) under Hevea brasiliensis (rubber tree). Lineage: Eukaryota; Viridiplantae; Streptophyta; Magnoliopsida; Malpighiales; Euphorbiaceae. The record is from RNAcentral.